This 253-nucleotide ribosomal RNA is filed under the name uncultured bacterium. Its description in RNAcentral is "partial 16S ribosomal RNA". It matches the Rfam family "Bacterial small subunit ribosomal RNA", at positions 524 to 776 of the family's 1533-position model. The record is from RNAcentral.
UACAGAGGCCUCGAGCGUUAGGCGGAAUCACUGGGCUUAAAGCGUGUGUAGGCGGACCUCUAAGUACCUUGUGAAAUCCCACGGCUCACCCGUGGAACUGCUCGGUAUACUGGUUGUCUUGAGCCACUUAGGGGCUACCGGAACAAAUGGUGGAGCGGUGAAAUGCGUAGAUAUCAUUUGGAACGCCAAUGGUGAAAACAGGUAGCUGGGAGUGUGCUGACGCUGAGACACGAAAGCCAGGGGAGCGAACGGG